This 440-nucleotide ribosomal RNA is filed under the name Camellia petelotii. Its description in RNAcentral is "partial large subunit ribosomal RNA". It matches the Rfam family "Eukaryotic large subunit ribosomal RNA", at positions 2927 to 3377 of the family's 3401-position model. Lineage: Eukaryota; Viridiplantae; Streptophyta; Magnoliopsida; Ericales; Theaceae. The record is from RNAcentral.
GAUUGUUCACCCACCAAUAGGGAACGUGAGCUGGGUUUAGACCGUCGUGAGACAAGUUAGUUUUACCCUAUUGAUGACAAUGUCGCAAUAGUAAUUCAACCUAGUACGAGAGGAACCGUUGAUUCACACAAUUGGUCAUUGCGCUUGGUUGAAAAGCCAGUGGCGCGAAGCUACCGUGUGCUAGAUUAUGAUUGAACGACUCUAAGUCAGAAUUUGGGCUAGAAGCGAUGCAUGCGCCCGCUUGCCGACCGCAGUAGGGGCCGUCCAACCCCCAAAGGCACGUGUCAUUGGUGAAGCCCGCACGGCGGAUGAGCGGCGCGGGCCGCCUUGAAGUACAAUUCCUAUCUCGAGCGGUGGGUAGAAUCCUCUGCAGAUGACUUAAAUACGCGACGGGGUAUUGUAAGUGGCAGAGUGGCCUUGCUGCCAUGAUCCACUGAGAU